AGAAUCAACGCUGGCGGCGUGCCUAACACAUGCAAGUCGAACGAGAAAGUGGGAGCAAUCCCACGAGUAAAGUGGCGCACGGGUGAGUAACACGUGACUAACCUACCCUUGAGUGGGGGGAUAACCUAGGGAAACCUGGGCUAAUACCGCAUAAUACCUACGGGUCAAAGGAGCAAUUCGCUUUAGGAGGGGGUCGCGGCAGAUUAGUUAGUUGGCGGGGUAAUGGCCCACCAAGACAGUGAUCUGUAUCCGGCCUGAGAGGGCGCACGGACACACUGGAACUGAAACACGGUCCAGACUCCUACGGGAGGCAGCAGUGGGGAAUUUGCGCAAUGGGGGAAACCCUGACGCAGCAACGCCGCGUGGAGGAUGAAGCCCCUUGGGGCGUAAACUCCUUUCGAUCGGGAAGAUAAUGACGGUACCGGAAGAAGAAGCCCCGGCUAACUUCGUGCCAGCAGCCGC
This 462-nucleotide ribosomal RNA is filed under the name uncultured bacterium. RNAcentral's name for it is "SSU rRNA". It matches the Rfam family "Bacterial small subunit ribosomal RNA", at positions 26 to 518 of the family's 1533-position model. The record is from RNAcentral.